This 401-nucleotide unclassified non-coding RNA is filed under the name soil metagenome. RNAcentral's name for it is "partial contains 5.8S ribosomal RNA, internal transcribed spacer 2, and large subunit ribosomal RNA". The stretch from base 1 to 121 matches the Rfam family "5.8S ribosomal RNA", at positions 35 to 154 of the family's 154-position model. The record is from RNAcentral.
GAUGAAGAACGUAGCGAAAUGCGAUAAGUAAUGUGAAUCGCAGAAUUCAGUGAAUCAUCGAAUCUUUGAACGCACCUUGCGCCCUUUGGCCAUUCCGAAGGGCAUGCCUGUUUGAGUAUCAUGAACACCUCAACUCUCAUGGCUCGCCAUGAUGAGCUUGGAUUUGGGGGUCUUGCUGGCCUGUGGUCGGCUCCUCUCAAAUGGAUCAGCUUGCCAGUGUUUGGUGGCAUCACAGGUGUGAUAACUAUCUGCGCUUGUGGUUUUCCAUCAGAUAACCUUCAGUGAUGGAGGUUCGCUGGAGCUCAUAAACGUCUCCCCUAAGCGGGGACAGCCCUUUGAAUGUUUGAUCUCAAAUCAGGUAGGACUACCCGCUGAACUUAAGCAUAUCAAUAAGCGGAGGA